Molecule: ribosomal RNA, 460 nt
Filed under: uncultured bacterium
Lineage: Bacteria
Description: partial 16S ribosomal RNA
Rfam family: Bacterial small subunit ribosomal RNA
Source: RNAcentral
CCUACGGGUGGCAGCAGUGAGGAAUAUUGGUCAAUGGACGAGAGUCUGAACCAGCCAAGUAGCGUGAAGGAUGACUGCCCUAUGGGUUGUAAACUUCUUUUAUAUGGGAAUAAAAUGUUCCACGUGUGGGAUUUUGUAUGUAUCAUAUGAAUAAGGAUCGGCUAACUCCGUGCCAGCAGCCGCGGUAAUACGGAGGAUCCGAGCGUUAUCCGGAUUUAUUGGGUUUAAAGGGAGCGUAGGUGGAUUGUUAAGUCAGUUGUGAAAGUUUGCGGCUCAACCGUAAAAUUGCAGUUGAAACUGGCAGUCUUGAGUACAGUAGAGGUGGGCGGAAUGCGUGGUGUAGCGGUGAAAUGCUUAGAUAUCACGAAGAACUCCGAUUGCGAAGGCAGUUCACUGGACUGCAACUGACACUGAGGCUCGAAAGUGUGGGUAUCAAACAGGAUUAGAUACCCGGGUAGUC